ACCUUUUCUGGCAGCGACUGACACUGCAGUAAACAAGCUCAAACUGGGGAAGGCACACGGUAAAUGUUACAGAUGAAGUCAUAAAAGUCUGGCAGGCACUUAGUUUGUGUCCUUCAUAAAAUCUGUGAAGAAGCAAAUGGGAAACCAGGGACUGGUCAAAGUACCAGCACAAAUCAAUCUACCUUUCACCAUCUCAGGGAAAGUAAAGCAGACCUGAAAAAGACCUGCUGAGCAGAUCUCUUCUCAAAACCGGAUAAUGUGCUGCCACAUGUCACUGGAACUUGCAAAGCAAGAUGGGUCCAAGAAGAUGGAAUGAGCUGGGACAGAUCAUUUCCUGCAACUAGCAGCAUCGGGUUCCUGCCUGGAGCACCUGAGAUGGCGGCCGUCUCCUCAGGGUGAGUCAUGGCUCCUGCAGCCUUUGCAUGGCUUUCUUGCCACUUUGACAGUUUUGCUGCCUUUGCCUUUUGCUCUCUUCUUGUCUAGAAGAUUUUUCAUUGGGUGUUGUGGUAAUUAAAGGCAAACAAGUCAUGUCUUGCCUUGGAUGAGAGAAGAUAAGAGCAGGACAAAAGAGGCUCAGGGUUAACUCUUUCCUUUGUUCUCAUCUAUCAAAGAAGAGAUUGCCAUACGUUUUCUCUACAUCUGCUGCUUAUAUU
RNAcentral lists this long non-coding RNA (653 nucleotides) under Numida meleagris (helmeted guineafowl). Its description in RNAcentral is "lncRNA (ENSNMEG00000018607.1)". Lineage: Eukaryota; Metazoa; Chordata; Aves; Galliformes; Numididae. The record is from RNAcentral.